CCUACGGGAGGCAGCAGUGGGGAAUAUUGCACAAUGGGGGAAACCCUGAUGCAGCGACGCCGCGUGAGUGAAGAAGUAUUUCGGUAUGUAAAGCUCUAUCAGCAGGGAAGAAAAUGACGGUACCUGUCGAAUAAGCCACGGCUAACUACGUGCCAGCAGCCGCGGUAAUACGUAGGUGGCAAACGUUGUCCGGAUUUACUGGGUGGAAAGGGCGUGUAGCCGGGCUUACAAGUCAGAUGUGAAAUCCGGGGGCUCAACCCCCGAACUGCAUUUGAAACUGUUGGUCUUGAGUAUCGGAGAGGCAGGCGGAAUUCCCAGUGUAGCCGUGAAA
This 331-nucleotide ribosomal RNA is filed under the name uncultured bacterium. RNAcentral describes it as "partial 16S ribosomal RNA". It matches the Rfam family "Bacterial small subunit ribosomal RNA", at positions 338 to 686 of the family's 1533-position model. The record is from RNAcentral.